CCUAAAUGUAUGACUUGGAUGGAAUGUAGUCACAUUGACACUCAUACCACAUCUUCUUACAUCGAUGUGUAGGGUACUUUU
This 81-nucleotide small RNA is filed under the name Mytilus galloprovincialis (Mediterranean mussel). Lineage: Eukaryota; Metazoa; Mollusca; Bivalvia; Mytilida; Mytilidae. The record is from RNAcentral.